CGGUCCAGACUCCUACGGGAGGCAGCAGUGGGGAAUAUUGCACAAUGGGCGCAAGCCUGAUGCAGCGACGCCGCGUGGGGGAUGAAGGCCUUCGGGUUGUAAACUCCUUUCGCUAUCGACGAAGCCUUCGGGUGACGGUAGGUAGAUAAGAAGCACCGGCUAACUACGUGCCAGCAGCCGCGGUAA
This 186-nucleotide ribosomal RNA is filed under the name Corynebacterium stationis. Its description in RNAcentral is "partial 16S ribosomal RNA". It matches the Rfam family "Bacterial small subunit ribosomal RNA", at positions 327 to 523 of the family's 1533-position model. Lineage: Bacteria; Bacillati; Actinomycetota; Actinomycetes; Mycobacteriales; Corynebacteriaceae. The record is from RNAcentral.